GCGGUGCUUCCGGUUCCGGUGUGGGCGGUGGCGGCGGGAUGGACCGGGAGCUGCUGCGUCAGGCGCUGAGCUACCACGGCCCCGAGCUGCUGUCGCUGCUCCGCGCCGAGCAGCACGACAACCCCGAUUUCCGCGGACUGCUGCCGCCGCCGGGGACCAGCUUCGAACCGCCCCGCGGGGCCUCGACGGCCGCCGGGAAAGAGACGUCGAGCAUUGACACCGAGAUAAAGCGCUUCAUUGCCAAAAAAGCAGAUCUCCUGUUUGCCCACUCGUGGAAACCCAAUGGGCCCUUCUCAGACACGAUUGAAGAAAAUGAAGAGUAUUAUGCUGUUAUGCCUCCCCUGGAGCAGUUCAUGGAAGUUCCUAGGGAAGAGAGGAGAGAAUUGUUUUUUCGAGACAUUGAACGUGGUGAUAUCGUGAUUGGGAGGAUUACUUCUAUUCGUGAAUUUGGCUUUUUCAUGGUGUUGAUAUGUCUGGGAAGUGGUGUCAUACGGGAGAUUUCAGAUUUAGAAAUCACAGCUCUGUGUCCUUUGAGAGAUGUCCCUUCUCAAAGCAACCAUGGAGAUCCUUUAUCUUACUAUCAAACUGGGGACCUUAUUCGAGCUGCGAUCAAGGACAUUGAUCGUUACCAUGAGAAGCUCACGGUGUCGCUUUACAGCUCAGCUCUUCCACCCAGCCUUUCCAGUACAAAACUAGGCGUAAUUACUUCUGAUGACUUCCCGUUACAUUAUAAGCGAAGCAUGGAAGUUGCUAAUACAGGAGAGACAUUUGAAGAGGUUUUGCAUCGUUCCCCAGGAUUUGCUAAUCCAUCGUUAGUUGAAUAUCUAGCAGAAAAACUAGGAAUAAGUGAAUCAAAUCCACCGUCUUUGAUGAGAAGUCUUCAAAUGAAAAAUUUCAAUGAAGAAGAUUUUGCCCCUGCACUGAGGAAAAAGCAGUCUGAAUCUUGGGCCUUGAAAUGUGUGAAGGCUGGGGUUGAUUAUUUUAAGGUUGGGUGCCAUGUAGAAGCCAUGAAUGAGUACAACAAGGCUUUGGAAAUUGAUCCUCAAAAUGUUGAAGCUUUGGUAGCACGUGGAGCUCUGUAUGCAACAAAAGGAAGUUUGAACAAAGCCAUAGGUGAUUUUGAAAUUGCUUUAGAAAACUGUCCUACCCAUAGAAAUGCGAGAAAAUACCUCUGUCAGACACUGGUGGAAAGAGGCGGGCAGUUGGAAGAGGAAGAGAAACUACUAAAUGCUGAGAGUUACUAUAAAAAAGCCUUACAUUUGGAUGAGACUUUUCAGGAAGCAGAAGAGGCCUUAACAAAACUCCGUAAGCACAUGCAGGUGAUUCUUUACUUUCUCUUCAUUAGUGCUGUCAAUGACAAUAACCGGACAUCAAAAAUCAUACUUAAAGCUUUUGAACAGGGAUAGUUUAAGUUUAUAGUUUGUCUUACUCUCUGCUUCCCUUCUCCCCAGUAAAUCUUCUAUAGUGAGCAUUAUGGCUGUACCUACCAGAAGAAAGGUACCUCUUGAUGACUGCACUGUUUGGAACAGGAUAGUAAAGGAAUGCCAAACAGUGGAGACGGGGGAAGAGCAAAGCCUGUUAACUCUGUCAGUUAACACAAGGAUAAGAGUAUUCCACCACACAAGCAUGAUUACUAACGUUAAACUAAAACAUUCUGUGAAUACAGGCAUGUAAGUGUAAAACACUUAGGCAAGCUAGAUAAGCGUUGCACACCAUUGUACCAGCCAGAUUCGUGUCGUUUGGAGUAGUUAUGAAAAGAGAGAGUAACACCAGGAAGAUCACAUGAGAGUGGAUAUUAAGAGGUGAUUUAAAGGAAAUCAGUAGGAUGUGGAGGGUGAGUGGGCAGGCAGUUUUGAAUAUCUUAGCCUUCUUCUCUGCUAUCUAUUUUUUUCUCUUCUCUUGCACGCAGCAUGUUUCUCUGGUGAGCCCUGGUGGGUCUGUGUGCUAAUCCGAGUUGCUAUCUUUUUUCUUUUAUUUACCUCCUUUACUUGUAUUGUCUUCCAGAGAAAAUCAAAGUAAAACAGACCACUGUGGAACAGGCUUGUCUUGUUCUAUGCUUCUUCAUGUAAGGAAAUACAUAGUUUAGGGUAGAUGGCUGUAAUUGACACUUCUUCAGUUGGUGGAGCCAUAAUGCUGACAGAUGGUGUUGAAAGAAGGGGGAAGAUGAGAUAUGACAAUCUUCUUAAUAAAGCUGAACUAUGUUGUAGAUAAACUGACCUAUCGUAUUUGAUUACUAGCCACAUUUGGCUGCUUUAGAAAGAGGUGUCUAGUCUCAGUUAAAAUGAUGAAGAAUAUUCUCAGCAAGUAGUAGAUAAUUUUUGCUCUCCUUUACCAUUUUCCUAGUGUAAUGGAUCACUGAUGCAGGGGAUAAAAAACACAGUGCUACCUAUUGUUUGUUGGUGUGCACAGCCUUAACUACAGUUAAGGGUUUCCUUUAUUAUAUCUGUUAAGAUAGUUGCUAAGUUUUGAAAACCAUCAAACUUUCUGCUCACUUUGAAUAUGAAUAGAGCUAAUCUUCAGGGCUGUAGGUGGCAGAGGUCUGAUCUUUGAUAGAGUGAAGUAGUUUAAGUUAAUCUUUUAGAUUAUUUGUCUGAUGAGAUGCUUUUCUGCAUUUACAUGUAUUUUAAUGUGUAAGUCUGAUACUAUCCAUCACUGUUGUGCUAGAAUGGCUGAAAUAACACUGAAGUUUAUUUUCCUGUAAUACUGAUUAUGUGUUUUUCUCCAAUGCAUUUUCUUCUGAAUUGGACCGUUGUUGCUGUAUCUGACAUCUGGUGCUGCUCAUCACCAACAAACCCUUGGAAAAUGAUUUCUUACGUAAACUAUGCAUCAAACUGGUCUGUGAAAUUGUUAAAAAACGAAAUCUUUGGAAAUGAGGGAGAAACAAGCUGCCAAAGAAGAGAGAGAGAAAGAAAAGAAAGUAGAAACGAGUGCAGAAAAAUUGCGUAAGCUCUUAAAAGAAGAAAAAAGGUAACUGUAAUAUUCAGUGUACUGAUUAUGGGGCAGUAAGUGCAGAUAAGACUGUGAACAAUCAAUUUCCAAACAGAUUGUCCAACAGUAAGCUAAGUAGAACUUCUACCUAGGUAAGCUGCUUUUCCUCCAGAUUUUUUUUUGUGGGUAGCAUCUUGUAAUGAUUAUAGUCUUUAAAAGAGACAAGUGUGACAGCCAAGUUGUUUUAAAUGUGCUUUGCAAUAUGAAGUAUUUGCAAAAUGUAAUGCCAUAUUAAACCGGGAAAGAUGCUUUUUAUAGCAGACUGUUUGGUAGAUUUAAUCUUAAUUUUCUGGUAAAGUAAUGACGUUUGAAAUUGUCUUUCCAGGUCAUGCUCGGUUUCUCAUUCAUGCCUUACAGUCUGAUCUUAGCAGAACUCUGGGGAGUAGAGAUUUGGUUUCUACAUAAAAUUUUUGCCUGAUACUGAAGAUUAUCUCACAUGUUGAUUACGUUUUUUAGGUUGAAGAAGAAAAGGAAAGUAUCAACUUCUUCUUCCUCUUCUUCCUCCUCUUCCUCCUCCUCCUCAUCAUCAAGUGAUUCUUCAUCAGAUGCAUCAAUUUCUUCCUCUUCCUCUGAUCACAAGAAACGCAGGAAAAAGCAU
Molecule: RNA transcript, 3586 nt
Organism: Cuculus canorus (common cuckoo)
Lineage: Eukaryota; Metazoa; Chordata; Aves; Cuculiformes; Cuculidae
Gene: TTC14
Gene name: tetratricopeptide repeat domain 14
Exons: 11
Source: RefSeq, a predicted model, not a curated record